GUGUGGAACCUGGGAUUCAAACCGCCAGGCAAAGUGCCGUAGCAGGGACUCUGGCCUAGUGAGAGUCUCUGUUUCCCCCUUUUCUUUCUUUCCACCCAAUAAAACCUGGUCUUACUCAUCAUUCAAAUUGUCUGCGAGCCUGAAUUUUUGUGGCCGUGGGACAAAGAACCCCGUCUUUAACGGAACUAAGGAAAAGCCCUACAACAAUUUUGGCGCGCAACGUGGGGACUUGAGAAGCGGUGUAUUUCCUUAGAGUUCUUGGGAAACCAUAUGGCUAAAACCUUGAUCAAUACCCUACAUACUCGGAAACGUUGAAUCUUUCUAACGGGAAAAAAGAGGUUAGGGGGCAGAAUUUAUAAACAUUUCUUCUUCAGAUUUAUGAUAUAGUUGAACUCUUUUGUGUCAACUAAAAGAACACGUGAACAUAGCAGGGCUGUCAAGAUAAGGCCACAAGCUUGCCGAGUUGGGGACCUUUGAAAUACAAUUCUUACUGCCAUAGAACAUGAAGAUGCCUGGGAAUUACAAUAUCCAACCAUUUAAUUAUGUGAUGUCAUAAGAAAAUGGCUUUAUUUUUAUUUGUAGGACUGUGGAAUCAGUACCUUGUAUUUAUGGGUUUUUAAAUCUAAAGGCUUAUUAGAAAGCUAACAAUGGACCAGUUAACUUACUCAUUAUCAGUUGCACAUGAUAGCUAUACUGAGUGACGUUGAAGAAAGCUUGUGUUUUCAACAGAAUACAUUCUACUGUAAAAAUUCUGUCUGUAAAUGAUACUUGCCAAGAUAAUUGCUAAUUGUAACUCAUCAAAAUAUGUGUCUGGUUCAACAGCAACAUGUUUAUUACUCCGUAUAUACUUAUUAUUUCUGUUGAAGCCAUCCUAGAGGGGCCCUCAACAUUAUUGCUUCUGUGUACAAUAGAACUUGACAUGUAAAAUUAAUCCCUUAAAGAUAUAUAUAAAUGAAUAACUAAAGCUGCAUGUAGGUGGAUUGGGACUGGUGAUUGAAAUGUAUCUGUUAUAAUUUAGUUAAGAUUUAGUCACUAUCUUAAGGAUAACAUGUUUGGCCGUGAGUAAAACAAGGUAGUGUGAAAUAAAACAGUAGGUCAGACUUGUUUCCUCCUUUCUUUCUACCCAUUCUCACAUUUGUCUCAUCUUAUAUUUAACUAAUUUUCCAGAACAAAUAUAAAGGGUAUGAAUGACUCUAACUCUGAAGAGAGAGAAAAGCCAGAGCAAUGAUUACACCUGCCCUUCUCACUUUUAGCUCUUAGCACAUUUAUCUUGUAUUGGACACAUUUUCAAAAACUUAUAUGUUGGGCUCAUGCCUGUAAUCCCAGCACUUUGGAAGGCCAAGGUGGACAGAAUUGCUUUAGCUCAAGAAUUUGAAACUAGCUUGGGCAGCAUGGUGAAAUCCCAUCUCUAUAAAAAAAAUUUAAAAAUUAGCUGAGCAUGGUGGUAUGCACCUAUAGUCACAGCUACUGGGGAGACUGAGGUGGGAGGAUCGCUUGAGCCUGAGAGGUCGAGGCUGCAGUGAGCCAUGAUCACACCACUGCACUGCAGCCUGAGUGAUGUGAGUGAGACCCUGUCUCAAAAAGAUUUUUAAAAAUUUUUUAAAAAAUUUUAAAAAGCACAUGUUCACCAUUAUCAAAGUAAAAUUAAAGGUCAAAGUUAGGUACUUAUUUGUUUACCUAGUACCCACUAAUAAAAACCAAUAAUAAAAGUGUAAACUAAAUUGGGCCAUGAACCAUCAGAUCCUUUUGGACUUCAGUGGGGAAAACACCAGGAUCAGAUCCAGUGAUAGUUUAGGUGUGAAUGUAGCUAACUCCUCCAAAUUUGAAAAUUAAGGUAGUAAGAUUCUUUUUACUGAUUAGUAUCAAAAUUAAUUGCUAUAAAAUGUUCAGCCAUGAUCAAGGUUUGUAUAACAAUAAAAUAUACAAAUAUUUUGGUGAUUCUAUCAACUUCCUGACACAUAUAAUCAAAUAUUGUCUAUGUUAUAUUAUUGCCUGAAAAAGUGUAAACAAAGGUCUGCUUCCUAAGAGUUUGGUCAUAGUUACUUUAAAUCAUGAGCUGGAUAUUAGUGAGACAUAAUAAUCUUAAUCAGCAAAUAUCUACUGGGUACCUUCAAUGUGCAAGUCACUCUAGUAGACAUUAGAGGGGAAAGGCACAUGGAGCACCACUUGCACUAAAAGGUUUGAUAUCCAGAUGGAGAUAUCACAUGUGAUGUGCCCAUUGCUUCUGAUAACUCACAAUAUCCUCAAAGUAGAGAUCAACCAAAAACAGAAAAAACUAUUUGCUGAAUCAUUCUGAGAGCCCAAUUGAGGUGGAAAACCUGAAAGUGAUACAAUGGCAUUCUAUUUUGUAAUUUUAUUCAAAAUUACUUAGCAGUCCAAGUAUCAACGUAUAGAAAGAUUAGGAAAAAAGGGAAAGGUCAAAGGACCAGAUAUGUAGGAAUAUAUACUUAUAUUUUUUCCAGUGGGUAUGUGUACAUAUAUAGAGACAUAGAUAUACAUAUACAUACACACAUAUACAUAUCAUAGUGAAAGUAAAGGAAUAACAGACCUAUAGAUUAAAUAAAGUAUCUUAAUUUCUUCAUUUAUCCAUAAAAAAAGAAAAAUGAAUUUGCUACAUAACUAGCCAGAUUUUAUAAAGAUAUCUUUAUUACUAACUUUUUAAAAUUUCUGUAGGUAUAUAAAAACAUAAUAAUCCCCUACUAAAGAACCAGGUAAUUUUGGAAAGAAUGUGGAAAUAAGGGUUUUUCUCCUUUCCUCUCUCAUUUGCCUGAUGCAAGAUUUAAGCCAGGUUUCUCAGAGUGGUCCAUUUUCUUAUCUGUGAAAUGGGAAAAAGUGGACCUUUGCUUCCUCAUUCAGAGCAAUUUCCGAGAAUAUUUGAGGUAACUAUUUGAAAACAUCUUGUAACUUAUGUAAAUGUAAGACAUUUCUCUUUCUGCUCUAAUUUUCCAUGCAGCAGAAAUCUCUUUGUGUUUGCUCAUUUACAGAAAUAAUUCAAUAAUUAUCUUAACCCAGGUUUAAAAUGCAUAUAAAUUUUACUCGUAGGUAUCCAGGAGAAAUUAAAACAUAUCCACGCACACACACAAAAAAUUGUACACAAAUUACCAUAGCAGCGUUGUUUAUAAUAGCCAAACAGUAGAAACAACUCUAAUUUCCAUCUGAGGAACAAACAAAAGGUGUUAUAUCCAUAUAGUAGAUUGUUAUUCAUUUAUAACAAGGAAUGAAGCACAACAUGGAUUAACCUUGAAAACAAUAUAUAUUAAGAUAAAUAAUUCAGUCAAAAAGACCCUAUAUUGUAUGGUUUCAUUUAUAUAAAAUAUCUACUAGAAUAGACAAAUCCUUAGAUACAGAAACUAGGUUAGUGAUUGCAUAGGAUUGGGGUGCAAUGGAGGAGAAUGGAGAAUGACUGCUAGUAGGUAUGGAGUUUCUUUUUGGGGUGAUGAAAUUAGGGGUGAUAGUUACAUGAGUCUGUUAAAAAUACUAAAAUCCAUUUAAUUGCACACUGUAAAUGGGUGAAUUUUAUGGUAUGUGAAUUAUUUCUCUUAAUAAAAAUGUGCAAAUCACUUCAAAAAUAUUACAAAAAUAGUGCUAAUUAUUUAUUAGCCUGAAGGAUAAUACAUCCAGCAAUGUAUCAAAAAGUACUUUACCUGAGCAGAUUUAGGUGUUACAUUUGCAUUUGAAUUUCAAAACGCAUUAUCUUAAAUGCAGAGAGAAGCCAGAGAACUCAGAUAGGUUUGCUCUGUCAUUAGGCAAUAUUGGAAAGAACCAUUCCUGCACUAUUGAGUCUAUAUUUUCGUACUCUUUCUCAAUAAUUUUAAGAAUUAAUUACUUUGGUUUCCAAUCUCUAAGUAGCCUUUAAAGGCUCACAUUUCUCAGGUUUUCAUGCUCCCAAAGGUUGAUUUUGAUAGGGUCUUUGUUAUAAAGAUCAAAGCAGUUUAAACCAUGUUAAUAGGAUCAAUCUAUAAUGUGGACUAAGAUGUUAAUAUUAACAGAGCAAGUCCUAGUGAAUGGGAUAACUAUAAUAAUAAUAGUACUAAAGCAUGCCAGGCACUUAUUAUUUUAUGUCCAUUUAAAAAAUAAGAACAAAGAGACCUAGGCAAAGAGAGGAUGCCUGCUUUGCCCAAAGACCAAAUUGGGGUUCAAGUUCAGGCCCUCAAAAUCUGAGCUUUUAGUCAUUACACUAAACAAGUAAGAAACAGUUCCUUCCCCAAAAUAACUCCUUUGUAGAUGGGGAUAGAUAAUGUUCCCAUCUAGUAGAAGAAAGGAGAAAAAUUCAAUGAAGAGCCAUAUUAGGUGUUGAAAUAACCAACAUUUUUAAAUCAUUUUUACAAUUUUUGAGGGACUUUCAAUUAUGACCUCACUUGAUUUUUUGACAUCUGUUCUGCACAUUCCAAAAGCACUUAAGGCUUAUUCACUGCCACAAAAUAGCUUACCUCUGUAAUACUAAGUAACAUGAUCAGCAUCUUCAUCUUAACAGCAUUCUCCUCGGGAACAUAAACACAGCACUACUGAAAGUAACACAAGUGAACUUUACUCCAGCUUACAUUUUAGUUCUUAGAUCUCUGAGCUCUCCACUUAUAUUCUGUUAUCUACUGCUUUUCUCUGUGACCCACAGUGUGGAUUUGAAGAUGAUUGGCCAAUGCAUUGGGAAUGAGACGUGUCAGAGUCAAGUAAAUAAAAUAACAGAAGAGAACAAAAGUAGGAAGACAAUAUGCCCAGUAAGUUAAAAAGUCAAAGAUUUUGCAAUGAGCAUAAACAGAGCCCUCAGGGGAUGUGGCUUAGCAAAGAGAAAACAAAUAACAAGGCACAGUCCUUGGGAGACUGGACCAACAUCUAGACAUGACACUGUGGACACAGAAUGUAGACUUCUGACUGGAUUUAGAAUUGUUUACCAAUUGCGUGAUCAUUAAAUUUAUGAGUCAAUUUUGUUGGGCUAGGAUACCCUGUUGUUUAGUCAAACACUAGUCUAGAUGUUGCUGGGGAAAAUAUUUUUAGAUGUGAUUUGCAUUUAAGUCAGUAGACCUGGAGUAAAGCAGAUUACUCUUUAUAAUGUGGAUGGAUUCUAUCCAAUCAGUUAAAGGCCUUAAAAGCAAAGACUGAAAUUUCCCAGAAAAAAAAAAAAUCUCCUCAAGAUUGAACAUAGAAACUCUGCCUGAGUUUCCAGCCUACAACCCUGAAGAAUUAGACUCAAGGCCUCAACAUCAACUCUUUACUAAAUUUCCAGGCUGUCAAUCUGCCUAUGGAUUUUAGACUUGCCAGCCCCCAUAAUCACAGAAGCCAAUUUCUUAAAGCAAUCUGAGUGUGUCUCUGUCUCAUUAUUUCUCUCAAUAUAGAGAUGGAUAUAGAUAUAUAAAUGUAUCCUAUUGGUUUCAUUUCUCUGGAAAACCUUGAUUAAUACAAUUUAUCAACCUCAUAAUUUCAUGUAUGUUAUUUAACUUUCCUGAGCCUUACUUUCCCCAUUUUACAAUAGGCAAAUAAUACUUAAUUUACAUAGGGUUGUGACAAGCACCCUACUUGUGCCUAGCACAAGUAAUAAUCAAUAAAUAAUAGCUGUUAUUACUUUUUUAUUGUGUUUAUUUAAGGUAUAUAGCAUGAUGUUAUGGGAUACAUAUAGAUAUCUGUUACUUGGUAUUCUUUGACCUUAAUCUCCCGAUUUUUUCUCCAUUCUUCACCCUGCCUCUGGUAACAAAUAUUUUGUUCUCCAUCUCUGUAUAUUUCAAAUUUGUUUUAGAUUCCAUAUGUAAAUGAGAUCAUGCAAUAAAGAU
Gorilla gorilla gorilla (western lowland gorilla) is the source of this 5762-nucleotide long non-coding RNA. RefSeq lists it as uncharacterized. The transcript is spliced from 4 exons. NCBI's taxonomy places the organism in Eukaryota, Metazoa, Chordata, Mammalia, Primates, Hominidae. The record is from RefSeq and is a predicted model, not a curated record.